ACUCCCAUCUAAAGCAGCAGGUCAGGAUACUGAUACAGAAAGAUUGAACAAGCUCGCAACUUUCCAGAGAAAGGCUCUUCAGCAUGCUUUACUUUUUCCAGCUGUUGAAAGAAUUGUGUAUAGUACAUGUUCAAUCAACCAAAUUGAGAAUGACGAUGUCAUCAAAUCUGUUCUGCCCAUAGCCGAAUCAAAUGGAUUUCAAUUGGCAAAACCCUUCUCCGAGUGGCAAUGUCGUGGUCUACCUGU
Glycine soja is the source of this 246-nucleotide long non-coding RNA. RefSeq lists it as uncharacterized. The record is from RefSeq and is a predicted model, not a curated record. The transcript has 3 exons. Lineage: Eukaryota; Viridiplantae; Streptophyta; Magnoliopsida; Fabales; Fabaceae.